AGGAGCCCCGAGGCCUGAGUGCAGCCUGGUGGCUGAGCUCUCCCUGACGUUCUGCCCCUCCACACGGCGGAAAGGGACCCAGCGCCCAACGCACACUGCUGCUUACCCAGCGGUGCAAGUAUCCAGGAUCUGGUCUUAGAGCAUCCCGGCAACCCCAAAGAAACCUGGCCCCUCGUCCCGCCUCCUCCCAGCCCUGGGUGCAGCUCUACGUCCUAUCCCUACAGAUCUGGCUGUUCUGGACGUUUCAAGGAAAAGGAAUUAUACAACAAGUAGUCUUUGGCGCUGGCUUUUUUCACAGCGUAAUGCUUGCAAGUUGAUGAACAAGAGCUGUCUCCACCUUGGCUCUUCUGAGUGCAGCUGUGUGAGCUCCAUGCAGAGGUCUUCACAUGGAGAGCCUUCCUGUCUCUGGUCUUGCUGGGUCACGAAGUUACGUCAGCUGAGUUCCACCUUACAGUCCUGCUGCCUCAGCCUCCCAAGGUGUUGGGAUGACAGGCCAGAUGGGGGAGCUGGGACCAGUGAAGGGUGAGCUGGCUGCCCAAGGUCACGCAGAAAGUGAGCAGCAGGGCUGGGACUCAGGCCUGGGUAACCUGACCUCAAGAUCCACACUCUUAACUAUUGCACCGCACCCUCUCUCCACGAUGAACGCCUGAGACUCUCUGUCAUUCCUGCCUGGACUCAGCAUGACUCAGCCUUCCCACUGUGGUCAAUAGUGUGAACUCUCACAAUUGCCAGCGUUCUGGUGGCAAAGAUCCCAAGUGACACUGCGGCAAUCUGCUGCCCUUUAGGUGAGACUGAAAAUGAAAAGUGUUUCCCAUCGGCAGUCAUUUAAUUAAAGAAAUCCAAUUAAAACUACAA
Long non-coding RNA from Chinchilla lanigera (long-tailed chinchilla), 855 nucleotides. RefSeq lists it as uncharacterized. Lineage: Eukaryota; Metazoa; Chordata; Mammalia; Rodentia; Chinchillidae. The transcript is spliced from 4 exons. The record is from RefSeq and is a predicted model, not a curated record.